GGUCACCGAUCAGUUUCCUUCGUGAGUUCAAACCGUGCGGUCGUGAAAAAUCGAAAAACCAGUCAGCAGUUUUGGAAACGUCGAAUUUUCUUCCACCCUUGUGCAUCGUCUUUUCUCCCUCCCACCAUUCAGGGAGCAUAGUGGGUGGCACUACUGUGUUUAAUCGCAUGUGAAAUAUUCAACACGCGAGCAGCUGGUUUAAUCGAUAGUUUGGUGAACUUUUGAGAAGAAGGUGAAGUUCAAGAAGUGAUCGAAGCUCUAAUUGGAAAAGUUGCAGAAUCUGCGGAAAACGUCGAAGGAAACAACAGAAGCUGCUACCCGACAACCACUUGCCCGCCACUCUGGAUAGUACCGUUCCUUUUCCGAUCGGCACGUGACAGAAAACCGUGACAUUGGAGCACAGAAACGGACCCACAGCAGCCACGUGGUACGCAACGGAUCCACCGGCGUUAACAGAACCGUCGAUCCCGUCAGAGGUCCAUUCCCAACGGCAGCAACGUCCAGCUCGGAUACCGCACCCCCGCCGGCGGUCCCCAUUCGGCAGCACUAGUACAAACUAUGACCACUAAGGUGGACGGCCCUGGUGGUCCUCGGAACAACGGUCACGAAAUGGCACCGCUCAAUACGCGGGCUCGGGGCGAUGGCACUCACGGUGUGACCAUCAUGCUAUCGCCACCGGAUCGAAACUCAGUCGGAUCUCGGGAGGGAGCUGGUCUCCCCGAUGGCGAUCCAGAUCGGGCCGCCUGGUCCGGAAAGAUGCAAUUUUUCCUCAGUAUUAUCGGUUAUUCCGUCGGGUUGGGUAACAUCUGGCGGUUUCCGUACCUGUGCCAGCAAAACGGUGGAGGUGCCUUCCUCAUUCCGUUCAUGAUAAUGUUAAUCCUGGAGGGUAUCCCUCUGUUCCUCAUCGAGCUCGGAAUGGGCCAAAAGAUGCGGCUUGGUGCGCUUGGGGUGUGGAACACGAUACACCCCUGGCUCGGUGGCAUCGGUAUCUCGUCCUGCAUAGUGACGCUCUUCGUGGCGAUCUACUACAACGUGAUUAUUACCUGGUGCUUCUACUACUUCUUCAACAGCUUCCGGGUCCCCCUACCGUGGGCAAGCUGUCCGCAGUUCAAUGGCACCGAUCUGCCCGAAUGUGAACGAUCGUCGGAGACGGCCUACUUUUGGUACCGGACCACGCUGGAUGCUUCGCCCAGCAUCGAAGAACCGGAAGGUUUCAAGUGGUGGAUCGUGCUCUGUUUGCUGCUGUCGUGGACGGUGGUGUUCUUCAUCGUGAUGAAGGGCAUCCAGAGUUCGGGCAAGGUCGUGUACUUUACCUCGCUUUUCCCGUACAUCGUACUGACGAUCUUCUUCAUCCGGGGCAUCACGCUAAAGGGUGCCGGUGCCGGACUGAUGCACAUGUACACUCCCAAGGUGGAGAAACUGCUGGAACCGACCGUAUGGUUAGACGCGGCCACCCAGGUGUUCUAUUCGUUUGGGUUGGCCUUUGGGUCGUUGAUUGCGUUCGGUAGCUACAACACACCGAAAAACAAUUGUGUCCGGGAUGUGAUUUUAGUGUCGGUGUGCAACGCCGUUACGGCAAUCUAUGCAAGUGUGGUAAUAUUCGCCAUUCUUGGAUACAAGGCCACGGUUGGUGUUGAUAGGUGUAUUGCAGUGAACAAAGGUAUUUUGUUUAAGCACGGUUUGAUUGACUCGAUACAUGUGGACAACGCAAUUUAUGAGGAGAAAAUGAACAGCUUAGAUUCGAUGACGAAGACCAACUGGACCUUCGAGCACUGUAGUUUAGAGGACCAGCUGGACAGUGCCGCCGAAGGAACUGGACUCGCUUUCAUCGUGUUCACCCAGGCUAUCGUUCAGCUGCCCGGUGCACCCUUCUGGGCCGUCCUGUUCUUUACGAUGCUCCUCUCGCUGGGACUGGGUUCGCAAAUUGGCAUACUGGAGGGUAUGCUGUGUACGAUAUUCGACAUCGAUAUCUUUAAGCGGAUCAGAAAGCCUUACGUCACAGGAGUCGUGUGUCUAUUUUGCUUCACGGUGGGAUUAGUGUUCACCACAGGAGCGGGAGAAUAUUGGCUCAAGAUGUUCGAUUCGUUUGCCGGAACGAUUGGCCUGGUUGUGGUGGCCCUCAUGGAAACCAUUGCAGUCAUCUACAUCUAUGGACACAAAAAAUUCACGGAGGACAUCUAUCAAAUGACUGGAAUCCGACCUGGACCCUAUUGGCAGCUAACCUGGAGGUAUAUAGGGCCAGUCAUCAUGUUCUUAAUUCUACUGUCCUCAGUUCUGAGUAUGGUACUUAAAAGCCCUACCUACUCCGCGUGGAAUGGCGAAUUGGGCAUCACCGAGAACAAAUCCUACCCGGACUGGGUGAUGGCCAUCGCGUUGGCCAUGAUCGUCGCAUCUGUGCUUCCGAUGCCGUUGGUGUUCCUACUUCGACGGUUCCAGAUCCUCAAGGUGGACCUAGACAUCCACCAGGGCUCGAUCCGAAGAAACGAAACGACGGCGUCUACCAAAGAGAUGAUUGACGAAGACGAUGUGGUCAGUCCAGACUUACCACCGCAACAGUCACUGGCAGGAACGCGCUUCACCAUCGGAGACUUUGAUACCAGAACCGAUGACAACAGUAGCGUGGUGGUGAACAACAAGGUGAGGAAAACUUCAACGACAACUGCACUCCCGUCAAGCAUGGCGAUCACGGCAGCAACCACCAGAAUGACAACGACAACUUCAGCACUGAAACCGAUCCUUGCAACCACCGGCAGCAAUCGAAGCAACGUCGUUAAAAAGUAAAAAGCACAUAAUAAAUGCAGAAAGAAACGGAGUCCAGUAAUUUGUAAACGAAAAAUAACAAACAUACAACACAAGCGCGUUAACGCUAAAAGGAUAAAACCAAACAAUUGAGAAGAACAAAACACAAAAGCAAACACACAUAUACAUAACGUAACACAAAAUUCAAAAUUACUUAGUACACCAAUAGAUGUUUUCCUGAGUACUACUGUAUUACAAUGGAUUGAAGCUCCUCGGCCACCAACCACCAUCUUCAUCAUCGCCUGCAACAACAGCAAGAGCAAUUGGAAUGGCGACCGUGACAGUUACCGUACAUUUGAACAACCUCCCUCACUACUACCGAUCAUUGAAACCGAAACCGAGGAUUCUGAUGCUAGUUCGUAGGAAUGACUAUACAGUGUGGCUCUAAGUUUAAGAAGGACGAUGACGAUUUGUUGACAAUAUGGAUGAUGAUGACGAUGAUUUCAGUGGGCCGGCCCUGGGUGGACCGGUGAAUGUCCGCAGUGACAGUGACGACGAGGACGAACCGCCCACCAUGGGCAAGAUGCUGUCGAACAAGUCCUCACCGUUGACAGCCGCUGGCGUGGCAGCCUCCCAUCAGACGUUUCAGUUCAAAAACCAGCACCACCUGACGCCCAACCCUUUGGCUGCGAGUCCGACCCGGAAAAAGCCCUUCAGUAUGGAGGUGAUGGAUUUCUAAGUAUCCUGGACUUCCGGUUAUUCCGAAAUCCUGCUCGCCUGUUAAGGUGUGUGUACUUAAGCAAGAACAAACAACCAAGCUCAGCUAUAUUUUUAUAAAGGUGUUUUAUGCUACAUUGUGUACGUGUACAGAUUUCCCGACACAAACACAUUUGUUUGAGAGAUUACUCGCAUAUUCGUCGGUAUUUUAUAUUGUAUGGAUUAUUAUUUCAUUUGAUCGUUUCUUUUCUAAGUUGUUUGUAUAUAUCUAUGUGCGAUAGUGAGAAGUUUGUAGUAUUGAGGCUACUACCAAAGAAAGCAGCCCCUAUUGACGUACUGUUACGCUAAGUUAGUCGAGUUACUCUAGAUGCUAGAGUAUAAACCGUGUGAGGUAUAUGAUCGCAUAUAAAACAGUGUGCCAGAAAAUAUUUAGUGAGCUACUUACGGUGAGCCAAAAAGAUUUUUUUAUUUUUGUUCAAGUUUUUUUUUUUGUAAUCGGAAAAAAGUUACGAAUCACCCAAACAAAUUUAAGCAAGCUCCAGUUAUCAUCGUUAUCAAUCGUCGAAAAAAUCCCUGCACUUACGUUACAAGAUAAACAAAUACGAACGGAAACAAUAAGCAAACACUUGAUAUUACUCAAUGCAUACAAAACAAAUGUAGUUUAUACAAAACACAGAACGGAAAACAAAAAAAAUGUAGGAUUUUGAAACAGAAAGUAUGUAGUUUAUUUUAACACGAACGACGGUUUUAAAGAUAAGUUUGGAAAAGAGCAGUUUUUGACACUCGAUUCGGAUGUAUUCAAUUUUUCUGAGUAUUUUAGUAAGUGAUAUAAUUUGUAAGUAGCAAAACCGAUGAAACCACAUGUAGCAGAAACAACAGGACAACAAUAAGCAGCCAAUUUGACGAUUUUAGAAUGUUAAGAGAGCAGCUCUCUGCCCCGAAUGAAUUGGAUGAUAAAAGUCGUUUCACCAAACUGAACUAUGCCAGCAAAUAACUUAUGACAGACGUUGAAAAUUAAUAUUAAGUGGAAAAAGAUUGAACAAAAUAUCACUAGACCGUAGUAGACUGGUUCAUUUGAGAGACUUAUUGAUCGUAUAAAUCUUUAGGAAACUAUUCAGUCUGGUUAGGUUGCCACUGUACUCUUUCGAAGUUAUCGCAUCUACUCGAAAUAAUUUUACCAAAAUUGCACUUAAUGCACAAUUACAGUUUAUGAAAUAAUAUUCAAAACCAAAAGAAUUUGUACAUAGAAUGAUGUUCCUUCCUGAGUUGUUCGACCUGAAUAUUUAGUUUAGUUAAGAAAAACUAUAAGCAGCUGAAAUGAUAUGAGAAAAAAAGAUGGAAAAACAAUAAAAAUUGUGAUCAACAUUAUAUUUAAUGAGAAUACAACGUGUAGCUUGUAAGUUAAUGUUGUAAAAGUUAAGCAAAGUAAAAUGAUUACAAACCGAAAAUAAGUGAAAAGUUAGUUCUUAAUUAUGACAACAACCUAGCAUUGCAUCAGGAAUGUGAAACACAUCCAAAUUUGAUAGGAAAUAUGACUCAUCCGGGAGUACCUUGAAAUUCAAUCGGAACCGACAAAACGUUGCAAUUCCAUUACCCGGUAGAAUUAACUGGAUCGACAUUGACACAAAUCCUAAUCUGGAUGUGAUUGAGAGGAUGAAGUUUUUGCUCAUUCAAAUUAACAGUUUUUUAUGGUAUGUUUUUAGUCAUCUUCUUUUGUCUUUCGAAAGGUUUUCUACGGCAAAAGGAGAAACGUGAAAAUACCUUCAUUGUAACGUUUCGAAUCUUUUUCGUAUUUUAGGUUAAACAGUCAAUUUUAUUUUGCUAUUGUUGCACAAUUAUAUUGCAGUUUUCAGAAUAAGUUUUCAACAAGUUUUUGCUUCUCUUUUCAAAGAUUUGGUUAAACUAACAAUUACAUUUUGAAUUUCAGUUAAUUAAUUAUAAGAGCAAUAUUUUAAGACAAAACGUGUAAAUCUUCCAUUUAACUGCUACAAAAUGAGCUUUGCGAGAACCAAAUGCAUCGUUGAUUGGAUAAGGUAUUCUGAGAGAAGUCCCAGUUAUGAUUUGUCGUAAUUACCAAAGAGAAUCAACGAUGCAUUGUCAUUCAGAAAUUGGUUACCAGAACUAAUUUUACCUACAAACAAAAAUCAAAUACGUUUUAAAGAAGUAAAUCAACAAGAUGACUGUGAGCAAACCUAGUAUUAAGGCCAAAUUAGUUCCCGUCUAUGUUAUUAUCAGUUUCAAUAACUGAAGUACGCAUGUUCAAAGUAGAAUUCUAUAUUUAAAAUAAAAGAUAAAUAAGCAAUUUGAACCCAAUACUCACAAUAGUACGCGAACAUCAUUCGAUCGAAAAUUCAACCACUCGUUAUCAAUCUGGACUAAAUUACAGAAUCAAUCACAAAGCAUUAGUAAUAGAUAGCAGACAACCAAUUCUCAACAGUCAAUUGCUCCACCAAAACAGUACACAAGACUACAAUGGGCGAAUCUGGUUAUAAAGCAUCCUCUCGUUGGCAUUCAUGCUUUAAAUUUGAUUCAUUCAAAAAAAACUGCUCUCAUAGUCAAAUCAGUUUAUCGCAGCAUUUUGUUUUCGGCCCUCAUGACGAAUGGAACCCAUUUAAUAGAGUAUCCCAUUAGGGUGAUUCAACUGAGUUAAACUAUCCUACAUUUCGAGUAAAACGAAGCAUUCUUACCUAAUUUAAUGAAUCGGUUGAUUUGACCAUAGAAGAAUUAAUAUUAGAAAACUCAACAUGAAACCCUAGCUUAACACGAAAUUGAGUAAAAACUAAUUGUGGCUUAACGAAAAAAUAUCUUUCAAGAUGGAAUUCAAAGAGAUUUUACCUUCGGGUGAAAAACAUACUACCGAAAAAACAAAUGUUAUUAUAUAAUAGCAUUCAUCUUAGAGAGUUGAAACCAAGUUUAACUGAGACGUUUGAGCAUUAAUCUCUCCCCCAAUUGGUGGGAUGCUUUGGUUGGAAAAUAUUUUCCCGUGUAAAGUAUGUACCAUACUACUACGCUAUUAGUCCUCCAUCCCCAAGUCCCCGUCUACUGUAUCAGAUGUAGAACACUAUUGAUUAGGAAAAUUAGGCCAUCUAAAGUAAUCGUUUCCACGUAGGGCAAACAAACACAAGUAAAACAUUUAACGUGUUAAUGGUCUUUGUAAAAGACCUCCCAGCUUUAGAAGUGUCGUCGUUUCUAAUGGAAACUCAAACAAAAGAAAGAAUGGAAGUUAAUCGUAGCUACCGAACACCUACCUAUGACCGUUUUUGGAAACUGAACUACGUAAAAUCGUAAAUAUCCGUGUUCCCACCCUGCCUCCUGUUUCGCUUCAAACUCACAAACGCAACGUACAUAUAAAGACACAUAUUUCUCAAUUUUGGAUGCAAUCUUUUCAUUUGUUUUAAUUUACACAAACUGAAAAACACACAAUCGGGUUUUCUUCUCCCAUAUGAUAAAAUCAUUGAACACACAGAAAACCUGGCCCUACCGCCUAGUAUCAUCCACUAUUAAGAAAUGUUGCAAAUAGUGUAAAUUACAAAACGAAAAUUGAAAAAAGAACAAAUCUACAGAGAAGAAGAAAAACAAACUGAAAGUUAUUAUGUAAGGGAACUACUUCAAAUUGACAAACCCACAGAAUAAACAGAGAAACCAUAGUUCGUUAAGGUGAAA
Aedes aegypti (yellow fever mosquito) is the source of this 7119-nucleotide RNA transcript. It is a transcript of the gene named sodium-dependent neutral amino acid transporter B(0)AT3, with no coding region annotated. Lineage: Eukaryota; Metazoa; Arthropoda; Insecta; Diptera; Culicidae. The record is from RefSeq and is a predicted model, not a curated record. The transcript is spliced from 13 exons.